AGGAAUCCGACUGCCCAGCUUGAACCAGGUGUCCACUGUGAUCCAGUUUGGUAUGGUCAGAGGGGCAGGAAUAUGUGCUUCAAACACAAUUUAGUGGGAACACUGGGAAGAGGACAAAAAAGAAGGGAGGAAUCAUUGUGAGUUCAGUAGCCAGCCAAAAGGCACCUCUGGAGCCCUGAGCCAUCGUGUGAGAAGACCCAUUACCCUGAAGCCACCAUGCUGGAGAGAUUACACAGAGUCCACGUGGAGCCGGAGAGAGAUGUCCAGGGGGCUCUGGUUGAUCCAGCCCCUAGCUGUUCAAGUUUCCAAACCUAGGCUAGGAGUAGCUCCCAGAUGAUUUCCCUCUCCAGCCUCCAAGCCACCCCAGCCAACAACAAGGAGAGCAGAAAUGAGCUUUCCCCACUGAGCCCAGUUCAGACUGCAGGUCUGUGAGCAAAAUAAAUGUUGUUGUAUCUUAAGCCAUAAGUUUGGGGGGCGGGGGGUAUUAUGUAACCAUAGUAAUCGAAGCAGGAUGCAAAGCAAUUUUCCAAAUAAACUAUAGAGUUCUAACUCAGAACCCAGUUAAAUUGAGUGGCCAAAGAUAAAAAUGCACAUAUACCAAUAUAUCACUAUGGAAUUUCA
This is a non-coding RNA of Microcebus murinus (gray mouse lemur), 621 nucleotides long. The record is from RefSeq and is a predicted model, not a curated record. Lineage: Eukaryota; Metazoa; Chordata; Mammalia; Primates; Cheirogaleidae.